GAAAAACUGGAUUCUAGAAAAUUAGUGAUGGGAAACAUGUCAAUGCAUUCUAAAGUUGUCAAAGAGAAAGUCAAGAAGCAAGAGGAGCAACUUAGUAAUGACAUCAGGUCACUUUUGGUUGCAGGGACUUCUCUUUCUGCAGCUAGCAAGCGCUUGCAGGAUGAAAGUAGGUCCCUAGCUGGAGAAAGGGGUUAUGGGCAACUCAGAAC
Molecule: unclassified non-coding RNA, 209 nt
Filed under: Hevea brasiliensis (rubber tree)
Lineage: Eukaryota; Viridiplantae; Streptophyta; Magnoliopsida; Malpighiales; Euphorbiaceae
Source: RNAcentral